UACGGAGGGUGCGAGCGUUGUCCGGAAUCACUGGGCGUAAAGGGCGCGUAGGCGGCCCGGUAAGCGUGUGGUGAAAGCCCGGGGCUCAACCCCGGGUCGGCCGUGCGAACUGCUGGGCUGGAGCACUGUAGGGGCGGGUGGAAUUCCGGGUGUAGCGGUGGAAUGCGUAGAGAUCCGGAAGAACACCAGUGGCGAAGGCGGCCCGCUGGGCAGUUGCUGACGCUGAGGCGCGACAGCGUGGGGAGCAAACAGG
Molecule: ribosomal RNA, 253 nt
Filed under: uncultured bacterium
Lineage: Bacteria
Description: partial 16S ribosomal RNA
Rfam family: Bacterial small subunit ribosomal RNA
Source: RNAcentral